CAAGAGAAUUCGGGCUUGGAGAAACAAGGCAUUAUAAUUGCUGUUCUCCUUCCCGUGACGGAGGCCUUGGCUGUCAUUUUUUACCAAGAGAAAUUUCAGGCUGAAAAAGGUGUUGCUCUUGCACUUUCUCUUUGGGGAUUUGUUUCUUACUUCUACGGUGAGAUCACACAAACCAAGAAAAGGAAUCUUGCUCCUGAAACAGAAAUGUUUCCAUCUGAUCCAACAGAAAAUAUUUGAACACGACUCCUAGAUUGCCGAUAACACUACUAGAUUGCCAUUAUAUGAUAUAGAUUUGGUUGUCUAAUCUGCACGUAUCAAGCUUCCUCCGUUCUUUUGCCUGUUUUCCUGUUUUCUACUCUUUAACGAAAAUUUGG
RNAcentral lists this unclassified non-coding RNA (374 nucleotides) under Hevea brasiliensis (rubber tree). The record is from RNAcentral. Lineage: Eukaryota; Viridiplantae; Streptophyta; Magnoliopsida; Malpighiales; Euphorbiaceae.